This 254-nucleotide ribosomal RNA is filed under the name uncultured bacterium. Its description in RNAcentral is "partial 16S ribosomal RNA". It matches the Rfam family "Bacterial small subunit ribosomal RNA", at positions 524 to 776 of the family's 1533-position model. The record is from RNAcentral.
UACGAGGGGAGCAAGCGUUGUUCGGAUUUAUUGGGCGUAAAGAGCUCGUAGGCGGUUCGGUAAGUCGGAUGUGAAAUCUCCACGCUCAACGUGGAGGGGCCAUUCGAUACUGCCGUGACUCGAGUCCGGUAGGGGAGUGUGGAAUUCCCGGUGUAGCGGUGAAAUGCGCAGAGAUCGGGAGGAACACCCGUAGCGAAGGCGGCACUCUGGGCCGGUACUGACGCUGAGGAGCGAAAGCGUGGGGAGCGAACAGG